Hyaena hyaena (striped hyena) is the source of this 880-nucleotide long non-coding RNA. RefSeq lists it as uncharacterized. NCBI's taxonomy places the organism in Eukaryota, Metazoa, Chordata, Mammalia, Carnivora, Hyaenidae. The transcript has 3 exons. The record is from RefSeq and is a predicted model, not a curated record.
UCCAGCAAAAAGCGACCAAGAAGCUGUAAGCUUAUACCUGAGCAUGUUGGGCUAUGAAUAACAGAUCUCCAAGUACCCACGAGCUCCACCUGAAUGCCUGAUCCUCUCAAAGAAGACCAAAGGCUAAAAUACUAUAGCUCUGUCCAGGGGGGAGGGGAGUGAACUAGCCAUUGAUGAAUUCCAUUGACCUUACUUCCUCUUUGGAUUUGCCUUUCAUCAGGUCUUGGCUGUUCUUCCACAGUAGGACCUCUCCACCACAUAGGUAAAGCCACCACAUCUGGCUUAGCCAUAUCUGUAUAGCACCACCUUCUUUUGCCAGGGACAUCUGAGGACACGAAGUAUCCGACCUGUACUGAAUCCAGGCUGAGAGACUCGCCUGGCUUCUGCUCUGUGCCAUGGUGUUUCAUGUUCCUUUGCAAAGUGGGCCAAGAUAGAGUCACCUAUGUUUCCCAGCUCAGCUCACACUUUGCAGCUCAGAGCAAACAUUGUGAACAUCCCUACCUCCCCACCCUACCCACCCCCCCAUGGUCUCCUAAAUUUCUGACCACUGAUGAAUCAGUUAUCAUUGACGACAGCACAGCGGUGCCGGUCGUUAUAAGAUUAUUUAAAUAAAUCACGAUUCGUUUGCACAAGGGGUAUGUAAAUAGCCACUACAGACUAUAUUAUAGAAGAACUGGCCUGGACAGUAUUUCACACUAUGCUUUCAAAUAAUGAAACAGAAUAUUCUAUAUUGCCCCUUUCGGUAAAGGAAAUAUACAGAAAUGUUAUCACUGAUUACUUUUAUCUGGUAGAAUUGCACAUGUGUGUUUGUUAUUGCCUGCAAAGAGUUUAUAUUGUUUCUGUGACAGGAAAAAGUUCUACUGUUUUUUUUUUUUUUUUA